GACGUAGGAGGCGAGCGUUAUCCGGAUUCACUGGGCGUAAAGCGCACGUAGGCGGAUUGCUAAGUCAGGGGUGAAAUCCUGGAGCUCAACUCCAGAACUGCCCUUGAUACUGGCGGUCUCGAGUCCGGGAGAGGUGAGUGGAACUGCGAGUGUAGAGGUGAAAUUCGUAGAUAUUCGGCAAGAACACCUGUGGCGGAAGGCGG
This 203-nucleotide ribosomal RNA is filed under the name uncultured bacterium. RNAcentral describes it as "partial 16S ribosomal RNA". It matches the Rfam family "Bacterial small subunit ribosomal RNA", at positions 524 to 724 of the family's 1533-position model. The record is from RNAcentral.